This 972-nucleotide ribosomal RNA is filed under the name uncultured organism. RNAcentral describes it as "bacterial SSU rRNA". It matches the Rfam family "Bacterial small subunit ribosomal RNA", at positions 465 to 1435 of the family's 1533-position model. The record is from RNAcentral.
GGGGUUGACGGUACCCUACUAGAAAGGAGCCGCUAACUUCGUGCCAGAAGCGUCGGUAAUACGGGGGCUCCAAGCGUUAUCCGGUGUUAUUGGGCGUAAAGAGUCGUGUAGGUGGUUGGGUAAGUUAUCUUUCAAAUAUCUUUGCUUAACAAAGAGGAGGGGGAUAAUACUGCUCGACUAGAAUUUUCUCAAGGGAGAUCGGAACUGAGGGAGGAGUAGUGAAAUGCGUUGAUACCCUCGGGAACACCAGUGGCGUAGGCGGAUCUCUGGGAGAAGAUUGACACUGAGACACGAAAGCUAGGGGAGCGAAGCAGAUUAGAGACCUGCGUAGUCCUAGCCGUAAACGCAUGCUUGCUAGCUGCAUGAAUCUACCUUCGGGUGGUAUCGUGUGGCGAAGGUAACCCGUUAAGCAAGCCGCCUGGAAAGUACGGCCGCAAGGCUGAAAUUCAAAGGAAUUGGCGGGGAGGCACACAACCAGUGGAACAUGUGGUUUAAUUCGAGACUAACCGAAGAACCUCACCAGGGUUUGACAUGUAGCUGCACGUCUUAAGAAAUUAAGACUCUCUUGAAGGUGCUACACAGGUGCUGCAUGGCUGUCGUCAGCUCGUUCCGUGAGGAGUGCCCUUAAGUGGGACAACGAGCGCAACCCCUAUUACAUGUUAGAAAUGUCAUGUAAGACUGCCUUGCCAUUUGGCGGGGAGGAAGGAGGGGCAGACGUCAAGUCCGCAUGGUCCUUAUGCCCUGGGCUACACACAUGUUACAAUGAGUACGGCAAUGAGUCUGUCGCGAGCACGUAAGUGUAAGCUAAUCUCUUAAAUGUACUCUCAGUGGGGAUUGAGGUCUGCAACUCGACCUCAUGAACACGGAAUUGGUAGUACUCGCGGGUCAGCUAUACCGCGGUGAUACGUUCUUGCCUCUUGCACACACCGCCCGUCAAACCAGCAAAGUCGAUUGUAUCCGAACCUCUCUUUU